Long non-coding RNA from Callithrix jacchus (white-tufted-ear marmoset), 2647 nucleotides. NCBI's taxonomy places the organism in Eukaryota, Metazoa, Chordata, Mammalia, Primates, Cebidae. The record is from Ensembl.
CAGCCUCCACAACUGUGAGAAACAAGUGCCUCUCUUUUUGGACAUAUUCACAGCAAAUUACCACUUGCUUCUCUGGCAGAAUUAUGUUACCUUUCUUAUUCUAGAUGCCAGGUAGUAUCAGGAGGUCACUAUUUUUAGUGAUGCACUUUGUUGCUUUGAAAAAAAUGAGAACUUAUUAUUAAUGAUGAAGAGCAAAAUAAAUAUUACUUAGGUAAGUAACAGUGUACACCUGCUAUAAACAGAAUGUUUGUGUCCUUCUAGAAUGCAUAUGCUGAAACCUAAUCCCAGUGUGAUGGUAUUUGGAAGCUGGGUCUUUGAGAUAAAGGUAGAGUUCUCAAGAAUGGGAUUAAUGCACUUAUAAGAAGAGUCCAGAGAGCUAGCUUGCUUUCUUUCCACCACGUGAGGAUACAGAAGAUGGCAGUCUGCAACUAGAAGACCCUCACCAGCAUCUUACCAUGUUGCUGCCCUGAUCUUGGAAUUCCAGCCUCUACAACUAGGGAGGAAACCCCAAGCCUUGGCAGCUUUCACGUGGUGUUGAGCCUGCGGGUGCAUAGAAGUCAAGAAGUGACAUUUGAAAACCUCCGCCUACAUUUCAGAAGAUGUAUGGAAACACCUAGAUGCCCAGGCAGGAGUUUGCUGCAGGGGCACAGAGUCCUCAUAGAGAACCUCCAAUAGGGUAGUGCAGAAAAGAAAUGUGGGGUCAGAGUCCCCACACAGAGUCCCUACUGGGAUAUUGCCUAGUGGAGCUGUGAGAAGAGGGCCACUGUCCUUCAGACACCAGAAUGGUAGAUCUACUGACAGCUUGCACUGUGCACCUGGAAAAGCCACAGACACUCAACAACAGCCCGUGAAAGCCAUUGGGAGGUAGGCUGUACCCUGCAAAGUUACAAGAGUGGAGCUGCCCAAGUCCAUGGGAACCGACCACUAGCAUCAACAUGACCUAGAUGUGAGAAUGGAGUCAAAGAAGACCAUUUUGGAGCUUUAAGAUUUGAUUGCCCUGCUGGAUUUUGGACUUGCAUGGGGCCUAUAGUCCCUUCAGUUUUGCCAAUUUCUCCCAUUUGGAAUGGCUGUAUUUAGCCAUCAACUGUGCCCCAAUGGUAUCUAGGAAGUUACUAACUUGCUUUUGGCUUUACAGGCUCAUAGGCAGAGGGGCCUUGCCUUAUCUCAGAUGAGACAUUGGAUUGUGGACUUCUGAGUUAGUGCUGAAAUGAAUUAAGACUUUGGGGGAUUGUUGGGAAAGCAUGACUGGUUUUGAAAUGUGAGGACAUGAAAUUUGGGAGGCAUGAGGGGCAGAAUGAUAUGGUUUGGCUGUGUCCUCACACAAAUCUCAUCUUGAAUUCACACAUGUUAUGGGAGGGACCCAGUGGGAGGUAAUUGAAUUAUGGGGGCAGGUCUUUCUCAUGCUGUCCUCAUGAUAGUUAAUAAGUUUCACAAGAUAUGAUGGUUUUAUAAAGAGGAGUCUCCCUACACAAACUCUCUCUUUGUCUGCUACCAUCCAUGUAAGACAUGACUUGCUCCUCCUUGCCUUCUGCCAUGAUUAUGAGGCUUCCCCAGCCAAAUGGAACUGUAAGUCUAUUAAACCCCUUUCUUCUGUAAAUUGCCCAGUCUCAGGUACGUCUUUAUCAGCAGCCUGAAAACAGCCUAAUACAAUCUCCAACCCAAUAUUGAGCACAAGUUGCGAUGGCAUGUAAACUUGUAUUGUGCCUAAAUUUAAAUGGACUAAAUUGUAUUGGUAAGAUAUAUUUGAGUCCUCACAAAAGCCCUGUGAGAAAGUAGGCAGUUAUUAGCCCCAUUGUAGAGGUGCAAGGGUCAGUCUGUCACUAAGAGUUGAAAUAAACAGGAUCAGUAUUAUGCAACUCAAGUUUUAGAGCUAGAAUUUUCAUCUAGGUCCAUUGAUUCCAACACUUGUAUUCUUAACCACUGUAUUCCCAGUAUACCUUCACUGCGUGCAUGAAUCUGUGUAUUUACAAAACCAAGAACUAAAAUAACCUAUGUUCCUUUAGAGUUUCUUUUUACUCUAAAAAAAUAGUUGAAUCAUUUUUAAAAACAAAAACUUACAUGGAACCCAAAUAAGUAAAACAGAUACAAGUGAGAUUGCUCUGGUUAAACCAGAUACAUAACCCAGAGCUGGGUCUGUUCUGUCUAUUCCAUUCACCCUAGUAUCCUUGCUUAAGGUGUCUAUGAAUUCCAUAGCACCUGAAACAGUAUCUGAAACCAUCGAUUUAUCUCUCCUUUUUUACGCAGAUAAGUAGACGAUUGUGUUAUUUUUUAUUUUUAUUUAUUUAUUUAUUUGAGAUGGAGUCUUGCUCUUUCUCCAGGCUGGAGUGCAGUGGCACCAUCUUGGCUCACUGCAACCUUUGUCUCCCGGAUUCAAGUGAUUCCCCUGCCUCAGUCUCCUGAGUAGCUGGCACUACAGGCACAUGCAACUACACCUGGCUAAUUUUUUGUAUUUUAGCAGAGAUGGGGUUUCACCAUGGCCAGAAUGGUCUUGAUCUUCUGACCUCAUGAUCCGCCCGCCUCGGCCUCCCAAAGUGCUGGGAUUACAGGCAUGAGCCACCGCGCCUGGCCCAUGCCUGUUUGUCUUAUUUGAUAGGAAUUGAUACUUAAAGACAAAUCCUCCCUACAUCCAUGUUCCCCCUCUCAGUUA